UUCCAGGAAAAGCCUCUAAGCUUCAGAUUGUAAGGAAUCGUACCCCAAACCGACACAGGUGGUCGGGUAGAGAAUACCAAGGCGCUUGAGAGAACUCGGGUGAAGGAACUAGGCAAAAUGGUACCGUAACUUCGGGAGAAGGUACGCUCUUGAUGGUGAAGUCCCUCGCGGAUGGAGCUGAUGAGAGUCGCAGAUACCAGGUGGCUGCAACUGUUUAUUAAAAACACAGCACUGUGCAAAAUCGUAAGAUGACGUAUACGGUGUGACGCCUGCCCGGUGCCGGAAGGUUAAUUGAUGGGGUUAGCGUAAGCGAAGCUCUUGAUCGAAGCCCCGGUAAACGGCGGCCGUAACUAUAACGGUCCUAAGGUAGCGAAAUUCCUUGUCGGGUAAGUUCCGACCUGCACGAAUGGCGUAAUGAUGGCCACGCUGUCUCCACCCGAGACUCAGUGAAAUUGAAAUCGCUGUGAAGAUGCAGUGUACCCGCGGCUAGACGGAAAGACCCCGUGAACCUUUACUACAGCUUGGCACUGAACAUUGAACCUACAUGUGUAGGAUAGGUGGGAGGCUUUGAAGACGUGACGCUAGUUGCGUUGGAGCCGUCCUUGAAAUACCACCCUUGUAUGUUUGAUGUUCUAACUUAGCCCCGUUAUCCGGGGUGAGGACAGUGCCUGGUGGGUAGUUUGACUGGGGCGGUCUCCUCCCAAAGAGUAACGGAGGAGCACGAAGGUGGGCUAAUCACGGUUGGACAUCGUGAGGUUAGUGCAAUGGCAUAAGCCCGCUUAACUGCGAGAAUGACGGUUCGAGCAGGUGCGAAAGCAGGUCAUAGUGAUCCGGUGGUUCUGUAUGGAAGGGCCAUCGCUCAACGGAUAAAAGGUACUCCGGGGAUAACAGGCUGAUACCGCCCAAGAGUUCAUAUCGACGGCGGUGUUUGGCACCUCGAUGUCGGCUCAUCACAUCCUGGGGCUGAAGUCGGUCCCAAGGGUAUGGCUGUUCGCCAUUUAAAGUGGUACGCGAGCUGGGUUUAGAACGUCGUGAGACAGUUCGGUCCCUAUCUGCCGUGGGCGUUGGAAGAUUGAAGGGGGCUGCUCCUAGUACGAGAGGACCGGAGUGGACGAACCUCUGGUGUUCGGGUUGUGUCGCCAGACGCAUUGCCCGGUAGCUAAGUUCGGAAUCGAUAACCGCUGAAAGCAUCUAAGCGGGAAGCGAGC
Molecule: ribosomal RNA, 1208 nt
Filed under: Vibrio fluvialis
Lineage: Bacteria; Pseudomonadati; Pseudomonadota; Gammaproteobacteria; Vibrionales; Vibrionaceae
Description: partial 23S ribosomal RNA
Rfam family: Bacterial large subunit ribosomal RNA
Source: RNAcentral